Molecule: unclassified non-coding RNA, 9466 nt
Filed under: Acyrthosiphon pisum (pea aphid)
Lineage: Eukaryota; Metazoa; Arthropoda; Insecta; Hemiptera; Aphididae
Description: muscle M-line assembly protein unc-89, transcript variant X4
Source: RNAcentral
GUAAUGUGUAUCGUGGUCGUUUGAACGUUGCUACAGUCGUAUCACGGUUGCCCGUUUUUUACUUACUCUGCAUGUAAUAUCAUACAUUACAUACACAAAGUACCUCAGUUAUAAUACGUAUAUAUAUAUAUAUACGUGUUUAUGUCAUGUACAGGUUUACUUUGGAUUUGUGUAGAAUGUUGGUUUCGUCAAAAACGGAAUAAACUCGGGUGUGCGGGUUUUCGAGACGGUAGCAUUAACAAUAAUAUUAAUAUUAAGUAACAUAAAAACGCGGCAGUAUUCGGGAUUGUCGAAUAAAAUAAUAAUUUAAGUCGCGUUUUAUACUUUACCCGGCUAUUGUAUAUGUAUACAUGUCUAUUACAUUAUAAUAUUAUCAUCGACGUGUUUUUCCGUGUAAUACGAAUAUCGGUUUAAAUACAUUUCUAUAGUGUCGACAACGGUACAUCGGCAAUAAUUAUUAUAGUGUAGCUGUGUAAAAAGCCUACCUAUACCCAUACAAUAUUAUAAUAUAAUAUAUUAACAGAAAUAAUUGUAAUUUAUUAUUAUUAUUAUUGUUAAAUCACACACUCGCACGCUGAUGAUCAUUUUAGUAUAAUAAUACUAGAAAUGGAGAGUGAUGAUGAUUAUUAUACCGUUUCGGAGUGUCUAAGUUCAAAAGUUUCUUCAUAUGGAUCAUGUACGCCUAUCGCUUCUGAUCAAGAUGAAGAAUUUGAUACGGACACUGUCGUCCGAGAAGUGUUGCAGACUAGAAAAUUAAUGCUUUCGCCUGUUCGAGGAUGUGUGGAAACUAGUGAAUAUAUUUAUAAAGAUACGCCAAUACUGCGAACUGAAAAACAGCCUAAAUGUCGUGACGUUUUAGAAUUAAAAGUUCUCGAACUAUGCCCGGAACUUACGUUGCUCGGGGAGACGUUGGAAGAGGCCUCGAGCUUACAGGCCGAACACGAGAGAGUGUUGGAAAAAAUACAGGAAAAGCAGAGUCCCGUCAACGAGUUGUUGAAGAAAGCCGAUUAUCUAAUAGCUACACAGAACACGCAGCCCCAGGUGUAUGCCGCUAUGGCCGAUUCGCUGGGAUUAGCCUGGAAAGACGUAAACGAUGUACUUCAAAAGAGAAGUUACUUGUUACACCUGAACGUUGAAUAUCACCGACAAGCUGAAGUAUGCAUGGAACGAAUCGGAACUUUGGAAAUGAUGUGCCACAGUUACCUGCCGACCGACGUCGAAUCGAUCAAAAACCAUCUGGAGCAUAUCCAGGAAGUCCGCAAGUCUAUACUGGAAGCGCUAAUGGUCGCUUUGGGCAAUGGCACGCAGCUACUGGACGUUUUGAAAGAGAUGCAAGCCAAAGGAACCCUGGAUUCGAGGCCGGGAUAUAAUUAUCAUUCUAUUUCAUUAGCCGUGUCUCAAGUAGAACAUUGGUUGGAGAAACUUCACGAUAAACGUCAUUCGUUGGACAUUGACUGUCACGAACGUAAGACAAUGUUGGAAAAACGACUGACAAUAUCUUUACUAGUCACCGAUCUAAAUUUACUUGAAAACAUACUAUCUGAAAGAAGAAAUUCUCUGGAAAGAGUUAAAAAUUGUCUAGGCGACUCCCAGUAUGAAUGUUCUAAAUUUACGGAAGUCAAUUCGAACUUGAUAACCGAAGCAAAGGAUAUAAGAGACCAAGCGCUGAGGGUUGCAAGAGCCACCGAACAACUGGUAUUAACUAAAGGCUACAUGGAAGAGGAUUAUAAAUUUAAAGCGUAUAAACUAUUAGAAUUAGCUACCGAAUACUUGGAAGAACUAAAUAGAAGAGAAACUCUUUUAGAUGCCGCUAUGAAAUUUUUCGAGUCGGCUGAAAAAGUUCUCCGAGCAUGGGAAACCAUACUUCAGCAUUCAUCCGAUGAGCAAUUGGCAUCAAAGAACACGUACGUUACAGAGACGGUAAAGCGAACCGGCGCCUCAGUAAUUCAAGAAGGAAAUUUAAUACUGAAAGACUUACCAGAGGCAGAGGGCGUUAAACGGGUUGUAGACGAGUUGGAAAGGAAAAAACAGCUAAUACUGUCAAUUGUUAUGAAAGACCGCGACAAAUAUAUGGAAUCUUCAGAAGCAGUCAACACGUUUUCAGAGAAUUAUAAUAAAAUAUUUUCCUGGCUUGUAAGUUUAGCUGAAUCGUUUUUACACGAACAUAAUUCUAUGGGUACAAAUCUCACGGAAGCGCGAGAGUUUUUAAUAUCCCAUAAAACUUUACAAAGAGAUCUAAGGACUCGAGGGAUCGACAUUAACGCAUUGGUAAACUCGACUAGUCUGCCACCGUUAACGUACAUCGAUGCUGAAACAAGAGUCGAUCUGGAAGGCAAAUCAAUCGUGUUAAAAGACCAUUGGACUUAUUUGGAUAGAAUAUUGGAAUGGAGGAUACAAUUGUCCGAGUUGUAUGUCAAAUUUUACACGUCGUGUGAACAUUUGAACAUCGAAUUUUCAAACUUGGACUCGAUCAUUGGAGAUCACGUCGACGUGUCUGAUCAAAGACUAGAUUCGGCGCACAAGUAUUGGACAAACAUUUUACAAUUGUAUAUCCAACUUAAGAACACAGGAGAAAAGUUUUUGCAUCAAAGUUCAAAAUCGGAGGACGCUCAUCUGGAACUAGACGUAGCACGGGACCGCGUGCGAUCGCUACUGGACACGUUCGUGGACAGGAAAACGAGAACUACUUCCGUCUGGGAGACUUGGCAGCGGGCAUCGGCUGAAAACAAACUGGAUAAAGUGCUCUGGUCGGAGACGAUGUGCGAGAGCAGCAAGACAGUAGAUUGGGUUUCCAAAUUGGAAUCUCAAUUAUAUCCAGUUUUGAAAUCUGAGCCGUCAUCAGUUGAUCGACAUAUUUCAGAGGUUAAACAGAAGUUAAAUAAUGUUCUACCGGAAGUUCAAAGGGCUCAAGACGAUAUCGAGUCCAGAAUAAAAACAGCCGAAGAACUUAUUGGAAAAGGAAAUAUUCAAGGUGAUAAUAUUUCUAUACCUCCAAGGUUAAAAGAACUUCAUAGCCGUCUUGUUGGAAUCACUACAGAGUAUCAAAAUCUUUUAGAUAUGUUCUUAUCAUUUUUUAAUUCUCUACAAGAAUUUCACGAUAUUGUGAAAGAAUCUGAAAGAGGUAGGCCCACCGACAUUUUCAACCAUCAAUUGAACGAAGUAGAAGAGCUCCUUAAGAAACACAACCAAUCAAGACAAACAGUUUUAGAUAGUUUUAAAACUGUUUAUGCUGAAAAUAUUCGUUUAAUGGAUAAAAUUAAGCAACAGGAACCUCAAAAAUCUGGAGAGCAAGAUAUGUAUGUAGUUCGUUAUUUGAUGGAAAAUGAAAGAAACCUUUGGGAUCAAUCAUGUGAAACUUAUUGUCAAAGAAUCGAACAACAGCAACAAUUAAGUCAGUUUGACAAUGAUCUCAUUCAGAUCAACAAUAAUUUAAAUGAUCUUUCACAACAACUGUCAUCUACGCGAGGGCAAUAUGGUGCAAAUUUAGCAUCUGCCAAGUCAGCUUCACUUGCCUUUCAUUAUUUCGAAAAAACUAUAUUACUUUUAGAACAACGAAUCGAAACAUUCAUUAACGCAGCAAACUCAUUGAUGAACUUUGAUCAUAAUAAGUCUGAACACAUCCGAGAAGAAUUAAAUAAACUGAAGUCAAGAUGGGAUACGUUCCAAGCACAAGUGUUAGAAAGUCGUAACCAUAUUGAUCUGUGUGUUCAAUAUUUUACGUUAAUUAAUGAAGCACAAGAUUGGUUCCACGAAGGAAGUAUACUUCUUAUGAACAUUGCUCGAAAAUCAACCGAAGUCAAAACAAGCGAAGAAGCUUCAGCAUUAUUAAAAGAAAUUGAAAUAUUUUUAAAACCUGGUGAUAUAAGACAAGAUGAGAGAUUAAAUCAAAUACACGAACUUAGCGUUCAACUUUUUGGAGAACAUGCAAUAGCUGAAGUACCUCAAGUUGUUACAGAAAAUAAAGAGCUACUUGAUUCAUUCUCAUUGAUUGCAAAAGAAUUAAAGUCUUUUGACGAUAAGCUUAAAUCUAGAGAAAAAUAUGAAAUAAAUAAUGAAGUUAAUCAAAUAAUUACUGAUACGUACGAAGAAAUAAUAACAUCCACAUCAAUGACUAAUGGCGUGUCACAAAAUGAAGGUAAUGUUCCAUUAUCAAAGAAAAUAAAACUCGAAGAAAUCCAUAAACCCAAACCUACGAUAAUUCUACCAUUGCAAGAUAACACGGUUGAUGAAGGGAAACAGUUUACAUUUGAAUGCAGCAUUGAAGGGGAACCUUCAAAAGUAACCUGGUUCAAGGACAACAUUUCCAUCGACAAUAAUCCAGAUUAUCAGACAUCUAAAAUUGAUAAUCGAUAUAUAUUGAGAAUCGAGGAAACGUUUGUAGAAGAUUCAGCAAAAUUUACAUGUCGGGCCGAAAACGAUUCUGAUUUUAUUGAAACAAGUGCAUAUCUUUCAGUUAAAGAAUGUGCACCUGAACACCAAAUUAGUCCAUCUGUAUUUACAAAACUACUAUCAGAUUUGCUAGUAAAAGAAGGCGAUGCUUGUUCGUUAUCUUGCAAAGCAGAAGGUAAUCCACUCCCAACAGUGCAGUGGUUUAAAGAUGACAUUUGUAUCGAUAAUAGCCCUCAAUACCAAAUUACAUAUAAUAAUGGCGAAGCAUUAUUAAAAAUUGAACACACCAAUUCGUCUACCCACAGUGGAAAAUAUACUUGUGUUGCAACUAACAGACUUGGUUCAGAUUCAACUGCGUCAAAGUUAUUAAUUGAUGCUCUGGAAAAGCCUGAAGAUGGGCCAACGUUUGUUGUACCUCUAUCCAAUGUAAUGGCUAGAGCCGGUCAAAAAUUGAAAUUGGAAUGUGAAGUUGAAACAAAUAAGCCACCGAUAUUAAUUUGGUUCCAUAAUGGGAAAGUCAUGAAAGAAAUAAAAGAUUUCAAGGUUUCUGAAAAUCGUGGAAAAAUUAAUUUAAUCAUUCCGGAAGCCUUUCCCAAAGACGCUGGCACUUACAGUUUAACAAUCAAAACGGAACAGGGUGAAGCGACCAGUAGUUGUCAAGUAUCGGUGAAAGGUAUACUCCCAAAUGAAACUUCCGAUUCGGAAAUUGCAAGUGAUUUGGAACCGAUCAAACCGUCAAUACCGUUACUUUUAAAAGAACAAACCGUUUUAGAAGGCAAAAGUGUUCAUUUGAAAUGCAUAAUUGUUGGACAACCCGAACCAGAGGUAAUAUGGUAUCAUGACGGAAGACCCGUUAAAGAAUCCAAAGACAUUCAACUUUUAUUCCAAGGUGAUCAGUGUUCACUUGUAAUCAAGGAGGCUUUUAUCGAAGACGCGGGUGAAUACAAAGUAGUGGCUAUUAACUCGGCAGGAGAAGCAAGCAGCACAUGCGUGUUAAGUGUCGAGCCUAAAGCAGUACCAGAUAUAGACGAACUAGUAGUUUCACCAAAGUUCACUAAGCUGCUGUCGGACGUAUUAGUGAGGGAAGGUGAUUCUAUUACUCUAGAAUGUAAUGCCGAAGGUUGUCCGAAACCCGAAUUUAAAUGGAUUAGGAACACUGUGGAAAUCAAGCCCGACCAAAGGAUAACAUUGAGUUCGGACGAAGAUGGUACGGCGACUCUUCACAUACAUAACGCUUUGUCCGUGGACAAAGGACAGUACACCGUGAGAGCCGUGAAUAAAGCCGGAGAAGCCAAAUGUUUUUCGCACGUGAUUGUAAAAGCCAUUUCGACGUUUGAUACCGCGGUCAACCCACCGACGGACAAAGUCCAAUUCGAAGAAAAGUUGGAAAAACCAUCAUUUACCGAGACGUUUCCGUCAGUCGUGAAUGCAUUCACCGGCGAAAGUGUGAAAUUCGAAUGCAUCGUUGUUGGCAAACCCGCUCCAAAGGUCCGUUGGCUUUUCAACGAGAAGCCGGUGAGUGGAAAAUCGUUUUUGGUGUCUACCAGUGGCGAUCGUCAGGUACUCACCAUCCCCGAAGCGGACACCGGGCACGGCGGAAUAGUCGAGUGCGUGGCCGAGAACGAAGCAGGCAAAUGCAAAUGUGUGUCUUCGCUUAAAAUAAAAGAAAGCGAAGCUGUUCCAUUAACCAUGGCCUACAACGGCGGCGGUGAUUUAAAACAUACGGUUUCCGAAGUUUAUGAAUCCAGUUCGAAAUUCGAGUCGAAACAAUCGACGUUCGUGUCGUCAUCGUCGUCGAUCAGCGGUGACAACGCUCCUAAAUUUAAAUUGGACUCUUUCAGUUUACAGUCGGAAAAACAAAGUAGGCAGUUUGGAGACAACGCUCCAAUACAGUCUGAAUCUUUACGAACGGAAGAGUACCACAACACGGACGGAAAGCAAAGUCAACAUGUGAGUGAUCUGAGUUCCACCAACGUAUCCGAAGAACAUCAAACUUCAUUUUUCGAACGUGGACUGUACAACCAAAGCGGGCUCGUUAAGGACGCCUCACAAAAAUCUUUGCUCGAAAGAAACAUUUCGAAACAAUCAAGGAAAGAAAUGGCACCGCGUUUCGUGUCGGCUCCACAAGGAAAAAUCGCUGAACAGGGAAAAGACGUAUUUUUGGAUGCUAUAAUAGACAGUUAUCCGCCAUCUGACAUCACGUGGAGCAAAAACGGUAUCGACUUGGUUCCCGACGGUGUGAAAUUGAAAAUAACCAGCGAAGUCAACAAAACUCGGUUGGACAUUAAACGUCUAACUGUGGAAGACGGUGGCCAAUAUACGUGCAAGGCUAUGAACACCGCUGGGGGCACGAGUUGUACAACAGACGUCAUUGUUAAAAAAAACGUAUUUCCACCGGUCAUGUGUCGAAGACUUUUACCGAACACGGUCGCUGAAGGCGAAAGAGUAGUUUUAGAAAUUGAAGUGGCCGGUACGCCCGAACCAACAGUGAGUUGGUUUAAAAAUAAUCAACCACUAUCGGCCACGUCGAGUUUAUACAGAUUAAGACAACAGGGGUCUUGUAGUGCCGUAGUUAUCGAUAAAGCUACUACAGAACAUGCUGGAGAGUACAAAGUUAUGGCGAAAAACGAAGGCGGGGAGGCUGUAAGUUGUGCCGAUUUGAGAGUGGUUCAGCCUUUACCCGAUAUCGGAUUAAAUUUGUUACCCACUUAUGCACCGAAUGACAACACGGAUAAAGUGAAUGUGGAUUACUCCAAAAGUAUUGUACCGACAAAUCAAUCGAAGCAAUUUAAUAUUACUAGCAAAACAGAAGAGAAAUCACAUUUUUCUAAAUCUGUCUUCGUUCAAGAAUCGAUAAACAGCAGUAAGGAUGUAAUUAUGACUGUUAACCGCUCUGAAGCAAAUGACUUUGAUUUAAAUUCGAAUAAUGCAAACGCUAAUUAUGAAAAUACUGAAAAACAGAUAUCUGUUCAAAACGAAAAUAUCGAAAAUGCAUCGAUAACGAAAAAAAGUGCACUCCAGUUCUUUAAAAAUGUCAUUGAAGAUAAUAAAGUUGAAAAGUCUAGUAAUUCAACUAUUCCGCCAUCAGCAGGAAUUUAUAAAAGAGAAAGUCCCAUAGAUAAUUCAAGUAAUUUUGCAUCCGAUGUUCAUAAUAAGACGUAUAAUAUUGAAGAAAACGUAUCAAGUAGCUCAUUUAAACAGUCAAACGACACGGAAGUCAUUUUAGAACCAGGUCCACCGCCCACUUUUGAUUAUAUGCCAAGAGCGCAAUCUGUAAAAAAAGAUCAAAUGACCGAACGGUUGAGAAGACUAUCAACAAAUCAAAAAUUAUUAUCACCCGAACAAAUUCCGUCCGGCGCUGUUAGAAUAUUUCCUGACGUAACCUCUGAGAUAAAACAAGAAGUUGUUGAGGAAAGUUGUAUAAAAAAAGAAGUUAUUAAAUCUGGGUUAUCCGAAGACACAAUAGCACACACACAUUUGCCUACAUCCUAUACGCCACUGCCACACAGUGAACCUCAUGUUCCACUUUUGAGACCCCAAGCCGACAUAGAAGUGAGACCAGGAUCUCCAAGACCUUCUGCAGAAGCUAUUUCUAUGGAAAAGCUAUGGACAAAAGGGCAUACUCCACAUGUUCAAAAAACUCCAGUAUCGUAUUCACCGAUUCAUAUGAAAACAUAUUCAUCGACGGAAAGCCAAUCGUUUGUUUCAGAGACCAUUGAAAAAAAUGGUGAACUGGUAAAAAAUGAAAGCAGAGAAGAGAAACAAGGUAGUCUAAAAAUAGACGAUGGUGUUAAAAAAGUUUCAGAAUCGUUUUCAGAAAUAUCAAUUCGUCCGACGAAACACGUCGAACCACCACGAAAUGAAAUUAAACGCCCAGCAUCAGCACAUUUGUUUAAUGAAGUAAAGUCUAAAGAUGCGUUCUUCGGCAACAAAGUCCAAACACAACAUUUUUCUGAAGAAUCGUCACAAAUUAAAAAAAGUUCAAUGUUUGACGUGAAAUCAAAUAUUUCUGAAAAAGUAGAAAGAAACAGUUCCAAUGUAAAAUCUGAACAUCAAUUGCAAAAUAAUCAAUCGUUUGAUAGAAAUAUGCAAAACACAUAUCAAUUUUUACCAGAACGUUCAAUAGGUCCAAUAAAACACGUGGAACCACCGAACAACAGCAAGAUAAUUUCUAAUUUUACACGGUCACACAGCGUAGAAACUGCCAAGGAAAAGCAAUGGUUGUCUCAAUCACCGGUAGCUUUUAGAGGACCGCCUCAAAAUAAAACGUAUUCAUCGUUUGAAGCGCAUUCAAGUUUUUCAAAAACCUUAGAAAAGGACGGAGUGUUAGUAGCCUCCGAACAUAACGAAGAAGGCGGUCGAGUAGUGGACGACGGCGUUCAAAAAGCAUAUGAUUCAUUUUCAGAACGUUCAAAAUUACCGACAAAGUUUGUGGACCUUUCAAAAAAUACUAAUAAAUCAAAUUCUAUAAAAACCAUGCAAAAAAUGUUCGAGCAGACUGGUUCGUCGUCUACGGUCUCUAAUGUUGGUUCAAACGUAAGACCAUACAGUAGAAUUAAGUCCCGAGCAAGUGAUAGCGAUUUCGAAAGUGAAGCGGAAUUGUCAAAAUACAACGUAGAGCAAAAAGUUUCAGAAAGUUUUAACAGUUUUGAAACGAAAAUGUAUUCUUCAAAAACUCAAUUACAAGAAAUUAAAAACACUUCGAUAAUCAUGCAAAGUCCGAUUAAGGAAAGUGGUUACGCGGCUGACACGGACGAGCCAAGGGGAUUUCAGAGCGAAUCGGUAGUUAAUAAUCAAACGUUUAACUCCAAAAGGAAUUCGGGGUUUCAAAGCACUUCAAUAAAGAAGAUGGAACCGUUAUUAGCCCCGUUUACCAAAAAGAACUGAACGCCGCCGAACACUCGGAUCCAUCGCACAGUUCACCUUUCUUCGUAACCCCGUUAAAAGACAUAGCUGUAGUUAGCGGCAAGACUGCCAGAUUCGAGUGCAUAGUGCAAGGUGAACCCGUCAGUGAAAUCGUGUGGUCGUGUAACGGCCAAGUGCUGGAGAACUCGGAGUGCUACCAGGCGCAGUACAG